GCAGUGCACGGUUGUGAACAGCAGCCAACAGCAGGCCGUGUGGGAGGACCAGUGGGCUUUAGCUCCUGCAAGAUGACUGGCAGGUGUCUGAUCCAAUACCACAAGAGGAAAGUCAAAGUCAAGUCAUUAGAGCAUAGAUUAGAAUGUGCCAGAGCUGGUCAGGAGUGGAGAGAGGAUCAAUGGUGGAGCUCAGUCAGCCAUGGCCGCAGACUGUCAGACACCGACCUUUCAGACACUCCACGGAUGGAUUGGUGUAUCAGUAGUAUAAAUAGAAGCAAAUGCUCAAUUAACAGCGGUGACGCAGGACCACAGUCUGUGAGUCUAAAUGUAUCCACAUGGAGAAGUACAUUUAUCACAGCUGCUAAUGAAACACACAGAGAAAAAAAAGAAUUACUGCUGUGAGAAAAGACAGAUUGAUUUCUAUAUAUCAGCAGCAUGUUGCAUUUAUCUUGUGUCUUCAGAACUAUUGAACAGAGCAGCACUUAUCAAUACUUCUAUACUAAUAAUGAACCAAGUGUGUAAUGUGAAAGGCUUUGCUCAUAGUGACAAACCCACAAAGAAAGCUCUAAUACAUCCAGAAUACUCUACAUUCGCAGCACAAAACUGCUAACAAAGUUAGCGGCUAGCUGGUCAGAGUCAUAUAUUUUUCUUAGGAGUUGGUGGAGACCAAAACAGAGCAAAAAGGAGAGUGAAUAUUGGACUUACAUUCAACAGGUGGCCAGACACACAAGUCAAAAUGAAUGAUAAUGUUGCUUUAUGUCUGUUGGAUGCCUAAACAAGCAACUUUGCUAACAUUUUAGCCAUAACAACUAGCUUACAGCUUGUUUUGCUGCCUCCAAGUGACCAAAAAAGCCAUCACUGCUUUAGAGGAACACUGAUAACAUUGUACUCACCA
Thunnus maccoyii (southern bluefin tuna) is the source of this 895-nucleotide long non-coding RNA. RefSeq lists it as uncharacterized. The record is from RefSeq and is a predicted model, not a curated record. NCBI's taxonomy places the organism in Eukaryota, Metazoa, Chordata, Actinopteri, Scombriformes, Scombridae. The transcript has 4 exons.